AUUUACAGAUAAUCGCGUAGGAACAAAGGGACGAAUCUUUUGCUUAUUUUACCUAGUGUUUUUGUUUUUGGGAUCUGUAUUUAGUGGAUAGGGCGAAAGAGUGACGGAGACGUAAAUAAAAAAUGAAACCACCUCAUGAGUUGAAUAGUGAGACGGCUCGUGACGCUGCCUAGAAGAUGCUUAGGCGAGAUGGUUGACAAGUAAGAAUGGGGGACAUAUGAGUCAGUGUUCGUUUUGGAACUUUCUUUGAUUUUGUUUUAUUUACAUGUUCAUUAAUUGACAAUUUCGUCUAUAUAGAUGGCUUAGUGUCUAUACCUCAUGAUAUAAGAAAAAAUUGAUCAUUUAAUAAAUUUUCUAGAUACA
Raphanus sativus (radish) is the source of this 363-nucleotide long non-coding RNA. RefSeq lists it as uncharacterized. The record is from RefSeq and is a predicted model, not a curated record. The transcript is spliced from 2 exons. Lineage: Eukaryota; Viridiplantae; Streptophyta; Magnoliopsida; Brassicales; Brassicaceae.